Long non-coding RNA from Oncorhynchus tshawytscha (Chinook salmon), 1425 nucleotides. Lineage: Eukaryota; Metazoa; Chordata; Actinopteri; Salmoniformes; Salmonidae. The record is from Ensembl.
GAACAGACGCCGUAGUGUAGCAGGCAGCAGGCAGUCAGUUGAUCAGUAACGGAAAGCGGCACAGAUAAUAUCGGUUUGUCUCACGCGUGCCUGCUGUUAAACACUUGACGUAAUUCUCUCUUCUCUGCUCUAAUCUGGAGAGAGGGAGAGAAAGAGAGAAGAGGACAGAGAAUGAGAGAGAGAGAGAGAGGGCAAAACUGAGGAAUGGUGAAUUAGAGGAAUUGACGGAGGAGUAGAGACGUUUAUUCCGGCUGGUUACCUCUGUUCUAGUGACGAGAGAGAGCCGACAGCCCGAUAUACAGGCGGAUUUACCUUCCUCCAACACGGCUCCAGACCAGUGGCUCACCUUCGCUCAACCUGCCCGCCCAGCAGCGCCCUCAUCCCGGCUAGAGGUCCAGGAGCUGUCCUGUCGUCUCCCCCCGUGUGUCUAACCUCAUGUUGUCUCCUUGCUCUACAGGUCCAGGAGCUGUCCUGUCGUCUCCCCCCGUGUGUCUAACCUCAUGUUGUCUCCUUGCUCUACAGGUCCAGGAGCUGUCCUGAAAACGUCGCCUCCCCCCGUGUGUCCUGCGUUGUGAUUGGUGUAGAGAGAGUUCCACUAUGUCAGGCUGACCUUCCUGACCCUCUGUGACCCUCACCAUGGUGACAUGACAGACCUUAGUGUUCCCCACCACAUCCAUGUUAGAAACCCUUCAUAGAGACACACACAUACACACCCUGACACACAUACACCUUGACAUACACACACACACACCCUGACACACAUACACCCUGACAUACACACACACACACCCUGACACACACACACACCCUGACACACACACACAUUGACACACACACACCCUGACACACACACACCUUGACACACACACACCUUGACACACACACACCCUGACACAGACAGACCCUGACACACACACACACACACACACACACCCUGACACACAUACACCUUGACAUACACACACACACACCCUGACACACACACACCUUGACAUACACACACACACACACACACACACACACACACACACACACACACACACACACACACACACACACACACACACCUUGACACACACACACACCCAUCGACACACACACCCUGACAUACACAUGUAUACAUCGCGACCCUCCAGGUAGUGAUGUCGUUAGCGGUGCAUGUCCGUCGCCACCUGCGGCGCUUCCUCCUCCUCCUCGCCUCUGGCUCCCUGCUAGGCUCCGCCUACUUCCUAUUCUCUCACUCCGCCCCCACUCUACAGCUCAACCAAUCAGGAGAGCACGUUGCUGUGGCGUGCCCCCUGCCCUUUCCAACUCCCUACAGAUCCCCCAACACACACACCGACAGACGAUCCGACCGGGACACACACACCGACAGACGAUCCGACCGGGACACACACACCGACAGACGUUCCGACCGACAGACGA